Long non-coding RNA from Papaver somniferum (opium poppy), 2434 nucleotides. RefSeq lists it as uncharacterized. NCBI's taxonomy places the organism in Eukaryota, Viridiplantae, Streptophyta, Magnoliopsida, Ranunculales, Papaveraceae. The record is from RefSeq and is a predicted model, not a curated record. The transcript is spliced from 7 exons.
GAAAAUCACAUGCCCUGCAGUCUGCACGACUCUGCACCUAAGAAAUAUCACACAUAACUUAUCCACACCGAAAAAUCCAUCUGUACAGGGUAAACUCUUUCUCCAUCUCUACAGCAAAAUUGGGUGCUUACAAGUCAUUUUGGAGUUAUGGAGGAAGAAACAAGCUGAUGUGAUGAGGUUUUGCAGAGGGUGAGGUGCUGGGAGUAUCGCCAACAUCCUUCAAUUUGUAUGUGUUAUCUUACCCGUCCUGGUAAGGACAGACGUUUGGGUUACAAGGUCAAGAAGUUAAUGGAAAGUCCUAAAUCUUAGCUUUAUUUUGCUGUUAUUAGUGCAUUUGAUAUGUUAAAGUUCAUUGAAUCCUGUUUUUCAUCUUAGUCUCAAGUUAAAUUUCGAUUUACUUUGGAAUCAGUUUCUUUGUUGAAUACAUUGUUCUGAUUUUAUGGUUUUCAUGAAGUCUUAAAUGGAUAAACUGACCCAUGCUAUGUUUUUCUACAAUGUUUGAAUGGUGUUAGAUAUCUGUUCGUAUAAUAACGGCCAUAGACUUCAAAAAUGUUAAACUCUAAUAAGUUAUUACUCAAAAGGUAUGUGUCAAACUAAGGUGACUAGACAAGUUUGAGUUGCGUCGUCGGGUUAUGUUUGAUUUUGCAAUGCAGAUUGUGUGGCUUACUUUGCUCAAUGCAUGGAAGUCCAGCUUUAUGUACUAUUUUUUCUGACAAAUGAUAUUGUUCUAUUUAUCUGAUUUCUGUAACCAUAUACAGGUUCUUGAUGAUGCCUUCUUUAAAUAUGAGACCAAGCCUAAGCUUACUAGUCAUGGCGAGCUCUAUCAGAAAGGUGAAGUGUUUGAGGUGAAGAAGUGAGAAUCAGAUGCUGCUCGAGACAAGCUCUUCAUUCAGAUGAUCUUUCAACAAAUGCGAUUGGAUGUAGCAAUCAUGGAAAUAAAAGUAGAUGAAUGAACUUAAUUAUACUCAAGAGAAAACACGCUUGGGCUAGUAUAGUGUUGUAAAUGGUAUUGAUUGAACAUGGAAUGACCUGAAUGAACCAACAGUAUUCGAGGUACAGCUCAUAAAUUGUCAUCAGUAUGUAACUUGUCAUUUAUUCUAUUGGUUUUGAAUUCUGGUUGUUUUUCUUAUAAUCUGCAAACCAUUACAAAGACAAGGUGCCGAAGCUGGUGGGCAUCAUAAUCAUUUGCAUUACCACAAUGUAGUUGGCUUAUUUUUCUCUAGUUAUGUAUAUGAUUAUUUUGUAUCUUCUUUAUGAUCACCAUGAAGUAAUUCUCCUUAGUGUGAAGAAUUGAAGAUUGUUGCUUGGCUCUGUUGAGGGUCCACCAUUUUAUGCAUCACAUUUGUACUAUUGGUAAGACUUUUGUUUUGUUUCAAAAUUGGUUUUGGUAAGACUUUUGUUUAACUUGAUCAACAUGAAUAGAUACAGUUGAGGUGAUUAAACCAAGUAGCCUGUUUAAAUCAUGACAUAUUCAAUAUGAUGAAAUGCUUCCCCCAGAAUGUCAGGUCCUGGUCAAUUUGGGUUUUGAUUCCUGUGUCUGUUUCUGGAUUCCUGUCCUGAUUGAGGUGUGUAAGUUAAAAUGUGUACUCACUUCAGUUUCUUGCUUUCAUUAUGUUCCAUAUCCAUCAUUACAUUUAUGGAGGACUCUGUCUGCUGAACAUCCAUACACCAAUCCAUACUUAAGGCUUACUGGUGAACAAGGGAAUUGGCUCAGCUAAGAUGCAAGUUUGCAGUUUUGUUUCAUUUUAACGCAAGGGAAUUGGCCUGUACUGCGGCUAACCUAUUUUUAUCCUGUUAAUAGAUGUUUCCUUUACAGUAUUUAUGCUAACUUUAUGCUUAUGAAGUCGGGAAAGAAGAGUGGUUAUCACACCUUUCAGAAUUUCCCAGUAUUUUUAUCUCUAAAUACGUAUAUAUUUUGUUUUUGCACAGUGGUUCGAUGUUGGAAGCCUGGGAAGGUUAUGUUGAGAUGGAAGUUCAAACAAGUCACAUAGAUUCAGCUAGAUCCAUUUAUAAAAGAUGCCAUAGCAAAAGGUUCAUGGGAACCGGUUCAGAAUAGUGAUACAAGCAUUAUAUGCGAAGUAAGAGCUCCAAAGCAAACCCCAUACAGGAAUUGCGUACAAUUUGAGCUACUAGGAUAAUCAGGCGUCUCUGUGCCAGUAAGCAUUGUGGUAGUUGACUCCAGUUUGCAUAAAUCUAUACCGCUGGUGUGCUGUUAUGGAAUUGUUAGCUCGGUUCAUCAUCCGGCGGGAUCAGAUCUCUUUUGCUGGUUUGAAGUUGUCUUUAUGAAACCUAGGACUUAUAUGUAUGACUUGUAUGAAUUCAGGACUUGAUUAUUUAUUUUCUUUUGUGAUUUUUGAACCUAAGUUGUAAACUGUAUUCAGUCAUGAAUUGAAUGUUUUUUUAUUAAAAAGGCCAGUUGAGUUUACAAAUUCAA